GACCUACUUUGGGUGCCUCCAGCGGGUCUGUUCUGCUCUUCUUGUCCAUGCGCUGCGGAUGGUGACCUGCUUGGCGGGGUGCUUGUAUGCCUGGGUGUUGCCCUCACCUCUUCUUGGGCCCACUUGCUGAUGGAUGUGCUGUUUAGAGUCGGUUUUCUUUGUGCUGGUGAGAACAGAGCAGCAGCCCAGAAGGUUGCAAGGAUCACGCUCAAAGAGCUGCAAUGCAGGCCUGCUUCAAGCCAAAGAUGACUCUUUGGAAGAGGCUUCUGGACCAUAAAUAAGCACAGGCUGCCCAGGAGGGUGGUUGGGGUCACUGUCCCUGGAGGUGUUCCAGAACCAUGGAGAUGUGGUACUGAGGGAUGU
Molecule: long non-coding RNA, 363 nt
Filed under: Gallus gallus (chicken)
Lineage: Eukaryota; Metazoa; Chordata; Aves; Galliformes; Phasianidae
Source: RNAcentral